AGAAUCAACGCUGGCGGCGUGCCUCAGACAUGCAAGUCGAACGCGAAAUUUCCCUUCGGGGAGAAAGUAGAGUGGCGUCCGGGUGAGUAACACGUGAGUAAUUUGCCUUCGGGUGGGGAAUAACAGCCGGAAACGGCUGCUAAUACCGCAUGAUGCAGCGGCACCUCAUGGUGACAGUUGUUAAAGCGGGGGAUCGCAAGACCUCGCGCCUGAAGAGAAGCUCGCGGCAGAUAGCUAGUGGUAGGACGCUACAAGGCUAGAUCUGUA
RNAcentral lists this ribosomal RNA (267 nucleotides) under uncultured soil bacterium. RNAcentral describes it as "partial 16S ribosomal RNA". It matches the Rfam family "Bacterial small subunit ribosomal RNA", at positions 26 to 285 of the family's 1533-position model. The record is from RNAcentral.